RNAcentral lists this ribosomal RNA (468 nucleotides) under uncultured bacterium. RNAcentral's name for it is "partial 16S ribosomal RNA". It matches the Rfam family "Bacterial small subunit ribosomal RNA", at positions 28 to 507 of the family's 1533-position model. The record is from RNAcentral.
GACGAACGCUGGCGGCGUGCUUAACACAUGCAAGUCGAACGGAAAGGCCCUGCUUUUGUGGGGUGCUCGAGUGGCGAACGGGUGAGUAACACGUGAGUAACCUGCCCUUGACUUUGGGAUAACUUCAGGAAACUGGGGCUAAUACCGGAUAGGAGCUCCUGCUGCAUGGUGGGGGUUGGAAAGUUUCGGCGGUUGGGGAUGGACUCGCGGCUUAUCAGCUUGUUGGUGGGGUAGUGGCUUACCAAGGCUUUGACGGGUAGCCGGCCUGAGAGGGUGACCGGCCACAUUGGGACUGAGAUACGGCCCAGACUCCUACGGGAGGCAGCAGUGGGGAAUAUUGCACAAUGGGCGAAAGCCUGAUGCGGCAACGCCGCGUGCGGGAUGACGGCCUUCGGGUUGUAAACCGCUUUCGCCUGUGACGAAGCGUGAGUGACGGUAAUGGGUAAAGAAGCACCGGCUAACUACGUG